GGCCAUUCCGAUUAAUCGGUCGACCUCUAAUCUGUAUGAUGUGUGAACUGGGUACUGGGUACUGGGUACUGGGUUUUCCCAUGCUGUGUCAGGGUUUGAGACUGGGUCCAGAAAGACACUUGAUUUGAUGUUUCCAGACAGUUCUGAUGUAACUACUCUAAUUCCCAUCAAGACAACCAGCAGUACUCCACAACAGUAUAAGACUGGUCAUGUAAAAACAGCCCCAAACAUAUUGAUAGGAAGUACUGCUUGUCUAGUGCUCUAGAGAAUGGAGUAGAGAAAGAUGUAACAGAUUGCAGUAAAGAACUCUAUAGGCAACACAGAGUCAGUGGAUCCAUACUGUACUGUGAUGUCACCAUUAUUCACCAAUGACAAGUGGUCACUCUGUGUUCCACUACUGUAGGACGACCCACACUCCAAAGUGACAUUUGUAUGCAAGAAAUUCUUCUGUGUUGUCUUAGGAAUUCAGCAUUCUCUGUGUUGAUCUCAGCAACCCCCAUUGUCUGACCUCUGAGGAGCAGAAGUUACAUCCUGUAGGUCUGAUAUCUGAUUGGAGGUUAACUUUACAUUAAUGCCACUGUUCUUUCUCUUUUUUGUUAUUAUAUUACUUUUUAUCAUGUGGAGUCAGAUUUUAAUAGGCUAAUUUCAUGGUCUAAUUACAAGUUGCGUGUGAUGUAUAUAUAAUAUACUGUAUAUACACUAUUCAAAUAUGUCUGUCCACCACACUACUAUCCAGGAAGUACAGCCUAUACUGCAAGACCAGCCUUGUCAACCCCAUCUUCUGCUGGUAUUGUAUUUAAUACUGUUUCCCUUCUCAGUUCUAUGGUAGACAGUAUGAGUGGUACAGCAUGGGGCCAAAGUCAGAUGUACUACCUUGGUCAACACAAAGCAUGCAUUUGUACAUGAAACUAAACUUUCAUGUUCCAUUUUAUAACUUGGCUGUGGUGCCGGUCACACUUCUCUCUUCCUGUAUGAAUUUCUGCUUCUCUGUGAUGCCAAAUACCAACACUCCAGGUUUAAGGUGUUAUAUAACCUUUCAAUUAUUUAGUGGAUGGUGUGAACAAUCAUAAUCCAUUAAACACAAAUUAAAAUGCUGAAUUAGAUCUUUGGUGUUCAGACAGAGACGAAGUUGUAGAGAGGUUUGGCUGAUGGAUAUUGGUCUUCAAACUUUACUUUCAUUUAAAUCAAUCUAAAUGAUCGACUGUGUUUAUCACUGUCUGUCUCAUUGUCCAGGUACCAGUAAUGUUAAGUUGCCCAUCAGUCACAUCAUGCUCUUUGUGACACUGAACAUCAUGGCUGCCAUAGUCACUAUUCACACAAUGAGGAACCGCCCACCCAAGGCUCUGCCCCCACAAGCAGAAGAAGCCUCUGGUAUUGAGGUCCAUGUCCUGGAGGAAUGACCCCUUGUUCCUCUUCUCCCUGUGCUGGACUAAGACUUUCAAACUGUCUGUAGCUUUAUUGAUUCAGUAACAGAGGACAGUAUAAAUGUUUUUAAAGUUGAUGUUUAUAUAUUUUAGUGCAUAAUGUGGAAGAUGUAUUAAUUCGUAGUUGUGUUCUUAUAUUAUAGUAUCUUUUUAUACACCUUUAUGUAGUAGGGAUUCAAAUAUCAGCAAACCUUGGCUGAUGUGUUUAAUUUUUUCUGUCCAUUGUUAAUGACGUCAGCAUGGAGAAAUUCCUWGGUAUUGUUUAAUUAAUKAUUUGUGUCCUAAYCAGACUUAAAAUGAGCACAAUGCUUCUUCUAAAAUGUAUAUUAAUUACUAAAACUGUUUUUAAAUAAACUAAUAAAAUACAGUAUUUCAAACWGC
This is a non-coding RNA of Salvelinus sp. IW2-2015, 1805 nucleotides long. NCBI's taxonomy places the organism in Eukaryota, Metazoa, Chordata, Actinopteri, Salmoniformes, Salmonidae. The record is from RefSeq and is a predicted model, not a curated record.